GACAACCAAUAAAUCCAUCUCUUUGAUCAACUUAUUUCACUCUGGUUCUAUAUCUUCCUCAUGCAAGUAUGCUGCAACAAGAAAGACUUUGCUCGGAUCCUUGACACUCUUCUUGCUUGGUCUUUUUUCAAGGAGGAUUUAUACAUGGCCUCAACAACUUAACUUAUGGAAUAUAUGUAGAGAAAAUUAGAUUCAUGGGCAUAUUACAGAGAAUAGCGAUAGCAUACUUUGUUGCUUCACUGUGCGAGAUUUGGUUUAAAGGAAACCAUAAUGUCAGCUCAUAGCUAUCUAUGAUCAAGAAGUACAGUUU
Long non-coding RNA from Brassica oleracea var. oleracea, 310 nucleotides. RefSeq lists it as uncharacterized. Lineage: Eukaryota; Viridiplantae; Streptophyta; Magnoliopsida; Brassicales; Brassicaceae. The record is from RefSeq and is a predicted model, not a curated record. The transcript has 3 exons.